GUCUUACUCCCUCCGUCCGGAAAUAGUUGUCAUUAAAAUAAAUAAAAGGUGAUGUAUCUAGAUAUAUUUUAGUUCUAGAUACAUUCCUCUUUAUCCAUUUUGAUGACAAGUAUUUUCGGACGGAGGGAGUACAAA
This is a non-coding RNA of Triticum aestivum (bread wheat), 135 nucleotides long. The record is from Rfam. NCBI's taxonomy places the organism in Eukaryota, Viridiplantae, Streptophyta, Magnoliopsida, Poales, Poaceae.